RNAcentral lists this long non-coding RNA (363 nucleotides) under Citrus x clementina. RNAcentral describes it as "Citrus clementina (C. clementina) long non-coding RNA (CCLE_LNC001223)". Lineage: Eukaryota; Viridiplantae; Streptophyta; Magnoliopsida; Sapindales; Rutaceae. The record is from RNAcentral.
GAGGGGCUCCGUGUGCCAAAAAUAGUCCGUGUGAAAAGCCGCGCACAAAAAUAACUUCCCGAAGGCCGGGCCGCCAAGUUCGUCCAGCGGAAAAAGUCCACAAAAACGGGUGGGCUAUAGCCUUGGGGGGUGGGGCUGGCCAACUUCGUCCGCCGGACUCGGAAUGCCGCGACACUUUGCGAGGGGCCUCCGUGUGCCAAAAAUAGGCCGCGAACAAAGGUGCGCCCAAAAAUAACCGCCCGAAGGCGGGGGCGCCAAGUUCGUCGAGCGGAAAAAGGCCACAAAAACGGGUGGGCUAUAGCCCUGGGGGGUGGGGCUGGCCAACAUCGUCCGCCGGACUCGGAAUGCCGCGAGACUUUGCGA